GGGGAUGUAGCUCAGUGGUAGAGCGCAUGCUUUGCAUGUAUGAGGCCCCGGCAUCUCCA
Molecule: transfer RNA, 59 nt
Filed under: Xenopus tropicalis (tropical clawed frog)
Lineage: Eukaryota; Metazoa; Chordata; Amphibia; Anura; Pipidae
Description: Xenopus (Silurana) tropicalis (western clawed frog) tRNA
Rfam family: tRNA
About the family: Transfer RNA (tRNA) molecules are approximately 80 nucleotides in length. Their secondary structure includes four short double-helical elements and three loops (D, anti-codon, and T loops). Further hydrogen bonds mediate the characteristic L-shaped molecular structure. tRNAs have two regions of fundamental functional importance: the anti-codon, which is responsible for specific mRNA codon recognition, and the 3' end, to which the tRNAs corresponding amino acid is attached (by aminoacyl-tRNA synthetases). tRNAs cope with the degeneracy of the genetic code in two manners: having more than one tRNA (with a specific anti-codon) for a particular amino acid; and 'wobble' base-pairing, i.e. permitting non-standard base-pairing at the 3rd anti-codon position.
Source: Rfam by way of RNAcentral